UAUGCAGUGAUUACAUAAUCACAUUUAGUGAUUUACAAAUGUUCCAAAACUGUUUUCUUAUUUAUAUUUACACACGGAAAACCGAAACACAAUUUAUUUUUUGCCUUAUACAUUUUUUGUCAGGCCUAUGAUAAGAUAAUUAUUAUUAAAGGGGAACCAAAUUGUGAUAGUAGGCAUAAUUGUCUCAGAUAUUACUAGUCAUAAUAUAUCACUCUGUGUGUGGAAUUUUUACUCAGGCCUCAUGUAUUUUAUUAUGUAACCAGUUGUUUAAAUCACAUAAAUUAUUCUCAUAUUUAUAGCAGAUAUUUAUUAUAGCACAUAUUUUUCCUCUCUGUCUCCAACUCACCCCAGCCUUCAUACAAUGCCCCCCACCCUCCAACCCCCUUCUCUAUAAUUUGAAUACAUUAUCAAUCGGUCUACCAUAUUUAUUCAUGAUUUAUUUUUUGCCUUUUCUCAUAUUUAUUUUGUCAUGCUUGGUUUUAUGUGUGAACAAGAGACAUUUCUUUAAUUGUACAAAAGUUUAUUUGUAGAUGACGGUGUAAGAAAAUAAGUUGUGACAGUAAUGAAAAAAAAAGAUUUCAACAUUUAAAAAUGUUGUUGAUUUAGUUUGUUUGUUAGGGUGUUUAUUUCUUUACACAAUGAAAUAUAAUGAAAUUGUUAGUUUUAUAAAAUUAUGCACAGUAAGUUGGUUUAACAAUAUUUUUAGUGUGUGUAGCUUUAAAGCAAACAUAGAUAGUGUGUUUUUUCCAUUCAUAUGAUGUUCUACAUGUGAUUGAAAAUUAGGGGGAAAAAAAGAUUUUAUUUAUUUAAAUUGUAUUGCGAGAGAAAGUGUAUGUGAUAUAGUGCUAACUAGUCCAUUGUUAUUUAUUUAUUAAUGUUAAAGAUAGAGGCAUAGCCAGAAUUUGAGAUAAUGUCAACAGUAUGCAUGAAACAUGAUAUUUUACUCACCUAUAUGUCGGAUCACACAUAUAAGACAGGGCUCAGAAUUUGACACUUAUAAUAGUGAAGCAAAAUUAUUAAAAAUAAGGAAAAAAUUAAGAAUUAUUUAUUUAACAAAUGAUUGAAAUAAAAUAAAUAAAUGGAUGUUUUUUAUGUACAGGGCAUAUUUUUGGUAAAAAAAACAACUUCACCAUCAAGUUUGGUUAAGUUAAUAUAUAUACAACUUUUCAGAAUAUUACUAUUGAUAAAAAAAAAGUUGCAGAAAGGGAGAUAAUCUAUUUUUUUUAGAGGUAUUGUUUUUAAAAUAAAUGAAUAAAUUAAUAUUGUAAAGGUAUUGUAUGUAUUUUAUUAUCUUAAGCAGGAUUAUUGAAUUGGAAGUCACUGUACACCAAGGCUUAAUUUUUUUAUUAAAUCAUGUGUGGUGAUGACAUCAUAACAAUUUGAAUAGAAUUGAAAACUCCAGUAAUCCUUGUAUUAUAAUUAUAUAUGAAGUCAUCUAUAUAUGCUGCAAUUGCUGCUGAUUUUACAACUGUCUACCAUUGUUGUUUUUUUUUCAUUGUAUAUUUUACAAUCAUGUAUGCCGUCCGGAAACCUAUGUCAACGAAGUCAUGAAUUGUGCCUAAGUCAUUUUUUUGGUCACAUUUUUUUUGAAGUGUCAUUUUGCACAUAAAUAUAUCAUUGUUGUUUUGGUUUGAAUAUUUCUAAUAUUUAACUUCAUAUGAUUACAAAAUAUUAUUAUUCAUGUUUAUGUAUUUUAUCUUCGAUAGACUGGUAAAGUGAAAAUAUUUUGGCAGUGAGAAAUAGAUUAUUGUUCAUGUAGAUUUGAAUUUUAUUAAUCAUACAUGUGCAGUACCUAGAAAACAUUUUGAAAAAAGUAUAAUAUUACUCUUUUGAUAUAUUUCAAAUGCUUUGAAAAUUCUUGAAUCCAAGGGUCACAUUUGAAAUGGUUUAGCGCAGAGGAAGGAAGUCUAGUACUGGUGUAACUCUCCAGGAACGAUGGUUAGGAAACUACCCGCCUAUAUGACUGAAAUACUGUUGGAAAAAGGCGUAAAAUGAAACAAACAUUUGAAAUGAAAUUUAAGUAUUUUAAAAUCAGACAUGUCAUUUUUGUUCACUCUUCCAUAUAUAAGUACAUGAGCAACUAUGCAAAA
Molecule: long non-coding RNA, 2090 nt
Organism: Ruditapes philippinarum (Manila clam)
Lineage: Eukaryota; Metazoa; Mollusca; Bivalvia; Venerida; Veneridae
Exons: 2
Source: RefSeq, a predicted model, not a curated record